RNAcentral lists this ribosomal RNA (832 nucleotides) under uncultured bacterium. RNAcentral describes it as "bacterial SSU rRNA". It matches the Rfam family "Bacterial small subunit ribosomal RNA", at positions 54 to 892 of the family's 1533-position model. The record is from RNAcentral.
AAUGCAAGUCGAMGAGGUCCGAGGGAGCUUGCUCCCUGAAGACCUAGUGGCGAACGGGUGAGUAACACGUGAGAAACCUGCCUCGGAGUGGGGAAUAACUCGGGGAAACUCGAGCUAAUACCGCAUACCUUCACACGAUCGCAUGGUCGAGUGAAGAAAGAAUUUCGCUCUGAGAGGGUCUCGCGGCCUAUCAGCUUGUUGGUGGGGUAACGGCCCACCAAGGCAACGACGGGUAGCUGGUUUGAGAGAACGAUCAGCCACACUGGGACUGAGACACGGCCCAGACUCCUACGGGAGGCAGCAGUGGGGAAUCUUGCGCAAUGGGCGAAAGCCUGACGCAGCAACGCCGCGUGCGGGAUGACGGCCUUCGUGGUUGUAAACCGCUUUCAGCAGGGACGAAAAUGACGGUACCUGCAGAAGAAGCCCCGGCUAACUACGUGCCAGCAGCCGCGGUAAUACGUAGGGGGCAAGCGUUGUCCGGAAUCAUUGGGCGUAAAGAGCUCGUAGGCGGUUCAGUAAGUCGGGUGUGAAAGCUCCGAGCUCAACUCGGAGAGGCCACUCGAUACUGCUGUGACUAGAAUCCAGUAGGGGAGUGUGGAACUCCUGGUGUAGCGGUGAAAUGCGCAGAUAUCAGGAAGAACACCAGCGGCGAAGGCGGCACUCUGGGCUGGUAUUGACGCUGAGGAGCGMAAGUGUGGGUAGCAAACAAGAUUAGAUACCCUGCUAGYCCACACCGUAAACGUUGGGCACUASGUGUGGGGAGGAUCAACCCCUUUCCGUGCCGUAGCUAACGCAUUAAGUGCCCCCGCCCUGGGGGAGUAACGGCCGCAAG